CCUGAAGACGAUGACGACUUCUCUGAGUACUCCGUGUAUUCUGUGGAGGACUACCAGGACCCUGAAGUUUCAUGGGAUGGUGAUGCCGAGACUAAGGGCUGGGACCAUAGAGGCUCAGAUCUCUGCUCCCUGCCACUGGAUGAGGGUUCCUGUACUGCCUAUACCCUGCGCUGGUACCAUCGAGCUGUACCUGGUGGCACAGCGUGUCAUCCCUUUGUCUACGGUGGCUGCAAGGGGAAUGCUAAUCGUUUUGGAACCCGUGAGGCGUGCGAGCGCCGCUGCCCACCCCAAGGGGUCCACCGUCAGAACACAGGUGCUGCCUAGGGCUGAGGCCCAGAUGAUGCACUUGGUGGCCAGCAAUCCCUGGAGGUGGCAGGUCUCAGCCGGGUCCUGCUAUCCUCCAUUUGGUGCUAGAGUUGUGUGUGCGCAUGGGCGUGUGCACGUGUCCACUAUUUCAGUGACUUGGUCCUGUGGGUCUAGCCUUCCCCCCUGUGGACAAAUCCCCAUUGUGGCGCCCGCUUUCCUGGCAGAUGACUCACUGUUGGGGGUGGUUGUGGGCAGUGAAUGGAUGUGACUGGUGUCCAACCUGCCCCUUGACCCAAGGCUGUGAUACCAUGGUGCUGAUGGGAGGGGAGGGGGGCAUUAAAGCUGCUGUUUUAAAAGGC
Molecule: long non-coding RNA, 665 nt
Filed under: Rattus norvegicus (Norway rat)
Lineage: Eukaryota; Metazoa; Chordata; Mammalia; Rodentia; Muridae
Description: long non-coding RNA NONRATT028059
Source: RNAcentral